Non-coding RNA from Xylaria sp. FL1042, 97 nucleotides. The record is from the annotation of a GenBank genome assembly. NCBI's taxonomy places the organism in Eukaryota, Fungi, Ascomycota, Sordariomycetes, Xylariales, Xylariaceae.
GCACCAGUAGAGUAGUAGUUAACUUAUUUCCCUCCCAUUUAUUCUAUCAUAGAGCAAAAGGAAGGAAAGGACCUGGGUGCAAAUCCUGGCUGGUGCA